RNAcentral lists this ribosomal RNA (208 nucleotides) under uncultured bacterium. RNAcentral describes it as "partial 16S ribosomal RNA". It matches the Rfam family "Bacterial small subunit ribosomal RNA", at positions 1284 to 1500 of the family's 1533-position model. The record is from RNAcentral.
CGUCUCAGUUCGGAUUGCAGGNUGCAACUCGCCUGUAUGAAGUCGGAAUUGCUAGUAAUCGUGGAUCAGCAUGCCACGGUGAAUACGUUCCCGGGCCUUGUACACACCGCCCGUCAAGCCAUGGGAGCCGGGGGUACCUGAAGUGCGUGACCGCAAGGAGCGCCCUAAGGUAAAACCGGUGACUGGGGCUAAGUCGUAACAAGGUACC